GGAACCUGUACAAGAUGCGGUGCAUCGAUGGUAAAAGA
Molecule: regulatory RNA element, 38 nt
Organism: Oribacterium sinus F0268
Lineage: Bacteria; Bacillati; Bacillota; Clostridia; Lachnospirales; Lachnospiraceae
Rfam family: Selenocysteine insertion sequence 4
Source: Rfam